AGUGAACGCUGGCGGCGUGCUUAACACAUGCAAGUCGAACGAGAACGGGUUAUAGCUUGCUAUAAUUGUCAGCUAAGUGGCGCACGGGUGAGUAAUGUAUAGGUAAUAUGCCUCUUACUAAGGGAUAACAAAUGGAAACGUUUGCUAAUACCUUAUACUCCUUAUUAACAUAAGUUAAUAAGGGAAAGAUUUAUUGGUAAGAGAUUAGCCUGUAUUGUAUCAGUUAGUUGGUGGGGUAAUGGCUUACCAAGACUAUGACACAUAACUGGUUUGAGAGGAUGAUCAGUCACACUGGAACUGAGACACGGUCCAGACUCCUACGGGAGGCAGCAGUGGGGAAUAUUGCACAAUGGGCGAAAGUCUGAUGCAGCAACGCCGCGUGGAGGAUGACACAUUUCGGUGUGUAAACUCCUUUUAUAUGAGAAGAUAAUGACGGUAUUAUAUGAAUAAGCACCGGCUAACUCCGUGCCAGCCGCCGCCGUAA
RNAcentral lists this ribosomal RNA (484 nucleotides) under uncultured bacterium. RNAcentral's name for it is "partial 16S ribosomal RNA". It matches the Rfam family "Bacterial small subunit ribosomal RNA", at positions 29 to 523 of the family's 1533-position model. The record is from RNAcentral.